GACGAACGCUGGCGGCGUGCUUAACACAUGCAAGUCGAACGGAAAGGCCCUGCUUUUGUGGGGUGCUCGAGUGGCGAACGGGUGAGUAACACGUGAGUAACCUGCCCUUGACUUUGGCAUAACUUCAGGAAACUGGGGCUAAUACCGGAUAGGAGCUCCUGCUGCAUGGUGGGGGUUGGAAAGUUUCGGCGGUUGGGGAUGGACUCGCGGCUUAUCAGCUUGUUGGUGGGGUAGUGGCUUACCAAGGCUUUGACGGGUAGCCGGCCUGAGAGGGUGACCGGCCACAUUGGGACUGAGAUACGGCCCAGACUCCUACGGGAGGCAGCAGUGGGGAAUAUUGCACAAUGGGCGGAAGCCUGAUGCAGCAACGCCGCGUGCGGGAGGACGGCCUUCGGGUUGUAAACCGCUUUCGCCUGUGACGAAGCGUGAGUGACGGUAAUGGGUAAGAAGCACCGGCUAACUACGUG
This 467-nucleotide ribosomal RNA is filed under the name uncultured bacterium. RNAcentral's name for it is "partial 16S ribosomal RNA". It matches the Rfam family "Bacterial small subunit ribosomal RNA", at positions 28 to 507 of the family's 1533-position model. The record is from RNAcentral.